UACGUAGGGGGCAAGCGUUGUCCGGAAUUACUGGGCGUAAAGGGCUCGUAGGUGGCCAACUAAGUCAGACGUGAAAUCCCUCGGCUUAACCGGGGAACUGCGUCUGAUACUGGAUGGCUUGAGUUCGGGAGAGGGAUGCGGAAUUCCAGGUGUAGCGGUGAAAUGCGUAGAUAUUGGGAGGAACACCAGUGGCGAAGGCGGCUCACUGGACCGGAACUGACGCUGAGGCGCGAAAGCGUGGGGAGCAAACAGG
RNAcentral lists this ribosomal RNA (253 nucleotides) under uncultured bacterium. RNAcentral describes it as "partial 16S ribosomal RNA". It matches the Rfam family "Bacterial small subunit ribosomal RNA", at positions 524 to 776 of the family's 1533-position model. The record is from RNAcentral.